RNAcentral lists this ribosomal RNA (434 nucleotides) under uncultured bacterium. RNAcentral's name for it is "bacterial SSU rRNA". It matches the Rfam family "Bacterial small subunit ribosomal RNA", at positions 355 to 786 of the family's 1533-position model. The record is from RNAcentral.
UGAGGAAUAUUGGUCAAUGGGCGGGAGCCUGAACCAGCCAAGCCGCGUGAGGGAAGAAGGCCCUAUGGGUCGUAAACCUCUUUUGUCAGGGAACAAAAGCGAGUAUGUAUACUGGUCUGAGUGUACCUGAAGAAAAACGCAUCGGCUAACUCCGUGCCAGCAGCCGCGGUAAUACGGGGGAUGCGAGCGUUAUCCGGAUUUAUUGGGUUUAAAGGGUGCGUAGGCGGCGGUGCAAGUCAGCGGUAAAAGCCCGGGGCUCAACCCCGGCGAGCCGUUGAAACUGCAGUGCUAGAGAAGGCGAGAGGUACGCGGAAUGCGCAGUGUAGCGGUGAAAUGCUUAGAUAUUGCGCAGAACUCCGAUUGCGAAGGCAGCGUACUGGCGCCUGACUGACGCUGAGGCACGAAAGCGUGGGGAUCGAACAGGAUUAGAUACC